CUACGGGUUGCACCAGUAAGGAAUAUUGCGCAAUGGAGGCAACUCUGACGCAGCCAUGCCGCGUGCAGGAAGAAGGCCUUAUGGGUCGUAAACUGCUUUUAUUUAGGAAUAAACCCCCGAACGUGUUCGGGGCUGAAGGUACUAAACGAAUAAGCACCGGCUAACUCCGUGCCAGCAGCCGCGGUAAUACGGAGGGUGCAAGCGUUAUCCGGAUUUAUUGGGUUUAAAGGGUGCGCAGGCGGGCUAUUAAGUCAGUGGUGAAAUCCCGGGGCUCAACUCCGGAACUGCCAUUGAUACUGAGAGUCUUGAGUUUGGUUGAAGUGGGCGGAAUGUAGCAUGUAGCGGUGAAAUGCAUAGAUAUGCUACAGAACACCAAUCGCGAAGGCAGCUCACUAAGCCAAAACUGACGCUCAUGCACGAAAGCGUGGGGAUCAAACAGGAUUAGAUACCCGGGUAGUC
RNAcentral lists this ribosomal RNA (459 nucleotides) under uncultured bacterium. Its description in RNAcentral is "partial 16S ribosomal RNA". It matches the Rfam family "Bacterial small subunit ribosomal RNA", at positions 339 to 795 of the family's 1533-position model. The record is from RNAcentral.